This is a small nuclear RNA of Anolis carolinensis (green anole), 106 nucleotides long. Its record names the gene U2. It matches the Rfam family "U2 spliceosomal RNA". Rfam says of the family: U2 is a small nuclear RNA (snRNA) component of the spliceosome (involved in pre-mRNA splicing). Complementary binding between U2 snRNA (in an area lying towards the 5' end but 3' to hairpin I) and the branchpoint sequence (BPS) of the intron results the bulging out of an unpaired adenosine, on the BPS, which initiates a nucleophilic attack at the intronic 5' splice site, thus starting the first of two transesterification reactions that mediate splicing. NCBI's taxonomy places the organism in Eukaryota, Metazoa, Chordata, Lepidosauria, Squamata, Anolidae. The record is from Ensembl.
AUCGCUUCUCGGCCUUUUGGCUAAGAUCAAGUGUAGUACGAAGCCCAAGGUUGUUAUGUGAAUGUUGUUAUGUUGUUACGUAAAAACCAAUUACACAAAACCUUUU